Rosa chinensis is the source of this 750-nucleotide long non-coding RNA. RefSeq lists it as uncharacterized. NCBI's taxonomy places the organism in Eukaryota, Viridiplantae, Streptophyta, Magnoliopsida, Rosales, Rosaceae. The transcript has 2 exons. The record is from RefSeq and is a predicted model, not a curated record.
UACAAGAAAAUGAAAAGCAUUGCAAUUCACUUAUUAUAUCAGUGGAAAAUUGGGUUGGAGGAUUUGAUCAAUCUAGUGUUUGGAUGAGGGAUAUAAAGGAGGGAGAUGACUUUUAAAUGGGAUUAAAAGUCCCUCGUGGAAACUCCCUUAUUUGGUAAAUAAAAGAGAAAGGGGACUUAAAUUACUGAAAUUCCAGAAAGCGAAGAACGACGAUCGAUUUCUCGCUCUCUCUUCUUCUUGCAUCGCUCAUCUUCAGUCAAUACAAGGGUCAAUGUUCAACUUCAUCAAAUGCAAGCGAUUCGACUUUAGCGGGGCAGCUUGGAGGAACUAUUGCAGAAACAUCUGAAGUGGUAGAUGACUGGGAGAAGGCUUAUGGAUAAGAUAACGGCAAAUCUGUUUAUUUGUUGGACUUUGGAAAUGGGGGACUGAUAGGAAUGCCCCUGCCCUUUUUUUUUUUGGGUAUAUGGGUAAAUUUUUAUUUGAACCCCGAAUAAUUGUUGAGUUAGCUGCAUUACAUUUUAGCUUGGCUGCAGUCAUAUUUUGUUGUGUUAUAGUUUUCGCUUUGAUUUCAUAUCUACUCCCAUUGAGAGUGGGACUGGUUACCUGCAGCUGCCUUCCAUAUAGUUGUGGAGGCUGCUUGUGUUGUUUCUGCUGUAUGGGAUAACAUGCAGCCUGUAAAUUCAUGAUUGUAUCGGAAGUGUAGCUUUCUAUAAAAGCAGAGCUAUAAUUACAUAUCAUUCUUCACUCAAA